This is a long non-coding RNA of Oryctolagus cuniculus (rabbit), 2874 nucleotides long. NCBI's taxonomy places the organism in Eukaryota, Metazoa, Chordata, Mammalia, Lagomorpha, Leporidae. The record is from Ensembl.
AUGAGGCACCUGCAGGCCCGGCCUCACACCACGCUUACAAUCGCCCUCCGUGUUUGUCUGGCAAUCUCAUUCCACGUGUCCAGCCCCCAGCGCGUGCGGGAUCCGUGUCAGGAGCUCCGGGAGUCCCGGAUGCUGGGAGAGCAGGCAGACGUCCAAGCAGCGACCGAGCAAGGCCAGGCAGGAGGGACCGGGCAGAGGGGCGCUCACAGCUGGACGCCACAGAGGUCGUCCAAGGACAGACUGCAGGACACACACAUGGACACAUGUGCACACGUGUGUGCACACAUACACACACCCACACAGACUCUGGAGCCUUCUGGGCCUUGGCAGACUUCCCGGGGAAGCCCCUGUGCCGUGCGCUUGUCCCCCCGCCCGCGGGCCCGUGUGCCCCCGCCCUGUGCCUGUCUGGUGGUCCUCACGGGGGUCAGUGAGGCAGCGCUGGGCCAGCACACUCGGUUCGCCCUCCUGAGCCCCUUUCUCAGAGGACACUGGACAAGGCCUGGCCGCGUCCCAGGGCCUCUGUCACAGGCCCAGGCCCUCCCCGCCCCACGCCUCCGCCCACUGCAGGCCCCCGUGAGGGGCCGGGCCACACAGCCUCAGCCCCAGUGGGGAGAGCGAGGACACUGGGAGGGACUUUGGGGGACAAGCAGAGCACGGGUCCUGGCGGCACAGGGCUCCCCCACCCCCCACGACCUGGCGGGGCAGGCCAUCCAUCCCACAGCAGGUCCACCUGCGUGUCCUGUCCAGCCCCCAGAUGGAGCCCGGAGGCAGGCGGGAGCCACAGAAGGGUUUUUGGCUGCCUGGGGACAGAUACAGAAAUCAACGUUUAUCACAGCCUGACACAGACCCCAACCUCGGCCGGCCAUGGGGCAGGGCAGAGAGGUGGGUCCCAUCUGUGCCCGGGUGACCAGCCGGGAGGGGCUGGUGUGGACAGGGCUGGGGGCCGUCACGGGACCCCGUGUUUGCAGCGACAUGAAUUGCAGAGAAUCAGCUUGCCGAGGGAGGGAGCUGCCGGGGACUGUCUGGGGAGGGGAAGCCAGGCCUGCCCAGCAGCCCCCAGGCCCCCAAGGACCAGGAGCAGGGUCCCGGCUUUCCCGGAGCUGGAUUUCCAGGGUCUGGUUUCUGGGUCAGCUGGAGCACUCGCCCCUGGGCAGUCUGGCCCCCGGGCAGUCUGCAGCCUGGGGCUGUGGCUCCGGGGCUGGUGAGCGCGCCCGGCACCUUCCCCCCAGGCAGGGCCUGCGGAGCUGGAGCAGGUGCUAGAGCCAGCGGUGGGGGGAGGGGCUUGCACGGUGUUCUCAGCAGGCCAGAGGGGCCGAUGCUAUGAGGCCACCAGGGACAGGCACCCUCAGACCUCAGCGCUGCCUUCCUGGGGCGGGGUGGUUGGGGACGCCUGGGCUGCCCGGCCUCAGGGCCCCUCCCACCACGGGGUCUUUGGGAUCCACCCCAGGCUCUGAGUGAAGCCAUCAUCAGCCAAUGCCAGGCAUGGGGCGCGGGGCCUGCUGUGGGCUCCCCCCAGGCAGGGCUCUUCCCUCUGCCCUGCCUAUGACUGGCGGUGGCCUCGUCAGAGCCCCACCGCUGCCCGAAGCUUCCCCAACUUGCUGUCCCAGGCGUGAGCCCCUGGGAGCUCCCCACGGCUGGGCGUCAUGGUGCAGGAGAAGCCGCAGCCUCCCGCCAUCUCUACCUCAGGGGUCAGCUUCUCCCGGCUGUGCCUGGGGCACCUGGGAGGCGUUGCCCGGCCGGGAGAGAGCUGUGUUUCGGCUUGUGGGGUUGGAGGUUUGCCAUUCGUGGCCAGGUGGUCCCGUGGAUGGUGGAGGGAGGGCCACGACAGGGAAACAGGGGCAGAGCAGCCCCCCCUCCCCCGCACCUUCCCAGGCAGGGCCACCCCUCCCACCCAGUGACCUAAGACUCUGCCCCUCCCCAGGGCUGUGGGCUCCGAUGAGGUCACCACCUGUCUCACAGGGCACCUGCGCUGGGGGCCCAGGGCUGCUCAGAGCAGAGAGGCUGAGCUGCACUACACCGAAGACGGCCUGGGGUUGGCGCCCAGCUCCAGCCCUGCUGCAUGCUGGGUAAAUGCCGUGCAGAGCUGGCCCUGCUCCCGGCGCUGUGCCAGGCGACCCUGAUGUGACUUCGGUGAUGCAGUGGAUGGGUGACACAGGUGACGGGUGACUGUGAAGUGACACAGGUGACGGGUGACUUGAGGUGACACAGGUGAUGGGUGACACAGGUGACAGGUGACUGUGAGGUGACACAGAUGACGGGUGACACAGGUGACAGGUGACUGAUGUGACACAGGUGACAGUGGCCCAGUGCCAUCCUGUCUCCACUUUACCAGGCUUAGAAGAUCCGUAGUGAGUGGGUUCCCUGUGGCCACGGCUCAGAGAGCGUCAGCAGCUCCAGGGUGGGGCCAGUGGAGCAGACCCCUCCUCCCCUCCCUGUAGGUGUGGCCCCUCCCCCAUUGCCCGUGUUCAUUAACAACCAGGGUCUCUGCCCCCUCACCCCCACCCUGGAGCUGGGCCGGCUCCCCCGGCACCUGCCCGAGGCCUGGGCCAGCGGAUGUGCAGCCCGUGCUCCGGCAUGAAUGAGCCGCCAGGCACAGCCCCCAAUUCCCCGAUCCAAUAUGCAGUGCCCCCGGGCUGGUGGGGGCCCCCCAAUUAUCCGGCCCUCAUUUCCCCUUUGCGAGCUUGGCGGCUGCACGGACCUGGACCCCACGCGCUCGCCGGGCAGCUUCUGGGGGGACUUGGCCCCCACGUUUCUCUUCUUCCCUGCCUGGGGAAGCCCCCGGGAGCGGGCAGCCCGAGAGCGUGAACGGCCCAGGUUGCUCUGCGAGGGCGGCCGUGGGCUCCUGCUCCCAAUAAAACCGCUGAAGCGAGGUCA